AGUGAACGCUGGCGGUAGGCCUAACACAUGCAAGUCGAACGGCAGCACCGUAAGAGCUUGCUCUUACGGGUGGCGAGUGGCGGACGGGUGCGGAAUACAUCGGAAUCUACUUUUUCGUGGGGGAUAACGUAGGGAAACUUACGCUAAUACCGCAUACGACCUACGGGUGAAAGCAGGGGAUCUUCGGACCUUUCGCGAUUGAAUGAGCCGAUGUCGGAUGAGCUAGUUGGCGGGGUAAAGGCCCACCAAGGCGACGAUCCGUAGCUGGUCUGAGAGGAUGAUCAGACACACUGGAACUGAGACACGGUCCAGACUCCUACGGGAGGCAGCAGUGGGGAAUAUUGGACAAUGGGCGCAAGCCUGAUCCAGCAAUACCGCGUGGGUGAAGAAGGCCUUCGGGUGGUAAAGCCCUGUUGUUGGGAAAGAAAAGCAGCAGGUUAAUACCCCGCUGUUCUGACGGUACCCAAAGAAUAAGCACCGGCUAACUUCGUG
Molecule: ribosomal RNA, 492 nt
Filed under: uncultured bacterium
Lineage: Bacteria
Description: partial 16S ribosomal RNA
Rfam family: Bacterial small subunit ribosomal RNA
Source: RNAcentral